This 784-nucleotide long non-coding RNA is filed under the name Homo sapiens (human). RNAcentral's name for it is "non-protein coding lnc-DNAJB9-6:1". Lineage: Eukaryota; Metazoa; Chordata; Mammalia; Primates; Hominidae. The record is from RNAcentral.
AAGAAAGUUCUGGAUUCAGCAAAAGUAGCAUGUGAAUCUGCCAGUUUUCAGACGAUCUAAGAUAAGGUCGGGGGGUUGAAUUUCACUAAAAGAAGGCUGUGACAAUAUUAUCGUAGUUCAACCUGUUUACCCAAAAUCAAAAUUUGGAGGAGAGGGCUUCUACCAAUCUAAAGUAGCUAAUGGUGCCAGCAUUGCAAGUAAGCAUCAACAUAAAAUGAGUCAUUCCCAGCAAGCAUCUGGAUGAUUUCCAAGUGUCUUAUAAUGCCUUACAGAACACUAUCUAGUAGUAAAAUGCCAGCAUUAUCACAUGGCAUAAUUUGAGCUGCUCAAAACCAAAAAAAUGCUCAGCUGAAGUGAACACUAAUGGUUUAUCCAUCAUGUUCUAUCCAAAUCUCAUUAAUAUAGUAUCUCAGAGAUAAUAGAUAGGAAGAUUACAAAGAGAAAUACAAGUAGAAGAAGGUUGUAGGGAAAGGCUGAUUUCAUUGAAAUCUGCUAUGGAAAAUGGUCAAGUCAAUAAUAACUUAGUUUAUGAAUAUUAUUUCUUUACCUUUGUAGGUGGAUCAGUAUCAUCUUGGAAGAGAAUUGAGACAUUGAUCAAGAGAAAAAGACUCUGAGAGGCUGACUUUACAAAACCGGUAUCUGUUUUUCACUCAUGUUGUUAGAAUAGGCCUCCAAUGAAACCUUUUAUUCUUACCUGCAAUAUUACUCAAACAAGUGGGACAUUUGGAACUGGUUAUUUAAUUCUGACAGCUAUAAGAGUAAGUGUAUGAUCAACAUCAGAAAU